UCCAUACAUCAUAUUUACAAUCAUAAGGAUAUUUCCAUAAAACAUAUGGAGUACAAUAUCACACCUAUAUAAAGUAACAUCUGUAAAAAUUGAAGAAGUCGAAUUACGGUCUUAAUCUAUUGGAUGACAGCUGUGUCAGAGACUCAGAUUAAAGAAGAGCACAGAUAUAAAUUAGAAAGUUAGAUGUACCUGACAUCAUCCAAGAUUGAGCAGGGCAUGUUUUCUUGCACCAAUAGAAUCUUAUGCAGUGAUUUUGCCAGAUCUCACAAACUAUGCAGAGUUCGAUUGGCAGAGUACCUGGAUGAAAGACUUCAAAGAAAAGCAGAUGCUGCAAGCAGAGGUGUUAGUGUUCCAGUAGGCGGCCAUGGACCUUUUUUCUAAUUCUUUACUGAGCCAGUGUGCCAGCAUGGUGUUGGAGGCAACUGUGCUGGAGGAGCUCUCUUUCAGAUGACACAUAAUAGUAAUACCUUCACUAGUAAUCAUUUAAAAUUCUCUGGCAUUUUUCUCAAGUGCAGGGCUGUGGCUGUGAGGCAGCAUGGACCUUGCCAAUUCAGAGCCUUGAACAACUAACUACCUUCACUAGAUUCCCUAGAACAGCUUGUUUAAUAAUUUGCUCAUCUCUGAAUACCUUUGUGUUGGAUAGUUAAUAGAUCUGAAUACUACCUAUGGUGGAAAGUGCUUUACAGUAAUUGGACUUAAAGAGGAAGCUGUUAUUGGUUGUUUUACUAUUAAAAACAGGUGGGAGAACUUAGUGCCUAUGAAAGUGACAGUCUAAUACUUUGGCUUGAAGUAUUAAUUUCCUCAGAGAGCUCAGACAAUGCACAUGCAGUAAUACUUCGGGAGCUCUCCUGAGAAACUGUCUGUGGUGGAGCUGUUUUAAAAGAUGUACGCAAUUGGAAAAAGCCAUCACCAAAUUCAUUUUCACCAGUGACCAAAGACGGGAUUUGAACAUGGAACUCCAGAAAGCCAGCAUACUGAGGGUUUUCCAUUGACUUCAGUUGAACUGAGAUUUGGUCCUUACUGAGUGCAGCACGUAGCCCAGAGGGAAAGAAGCUCAGGAGAUCAUGUAGGCCAACCCCCUGCUCAAAGCAGGACCAAUCCCCAACUAUUUUUUUUUGCCCUGGAUGGUCUCCUUAAGGAUUUAAUUCACAACCCUGGCUUUAGCAGGCCAAUGCUCAAACCACUGAGCUAUUAUACUGUGCUGCAUAAAAACUCCAGGUGCUCUAUCUAUUAUACAAAUUGACUCAGUUAUGACUCCCCCCUUCUCUCCUCCACCAUUCUUCUGUCCUCCUUCUCUACAUGCUCAUUUUGUCCUUUUCCUAGCUCCUCUCCCUUCUCUCUGCCCUGUCUUUAUCACACCUGCCACUGCAAAGUGUCCUCAACCCCAUCUUCUUAAGGUGUUCCAAUGGUGUGGAAGAACAGCACGUUUAACUCCUCUGCCAACUCCUGCAGCUGAGGCUUCUCUGCUCGGGGUUCUAUUGACUGUUCUCCCAGUUGUCCAGCUCAUUCUGCCUGGCUCUGUCCAAGAAUAAAUAGCCAGUGCUCUUGUCCUACUGCUCCAUCUGUAAGUGCACAAACAAAAUGUAAUACUUGCAGACUAAAAAUGCCUCAGCAAUGUUAAGCAUUGUGGGGAGGCAAAGGGUCACAAGCUUGUGAAAAGUAAUGUGACUGCAGGAAUGAACGUAGGGACACCUGAAACAACAAUGCUUUGCACUAACAAUGUGUCUUCCAUCCAAGAAGCUCAAAGCACUUUACAGACAUUAAUGAGUUGAACCUCACAACCCUCCUGUGAGUUAAGAUAAUAUUACCCUCACAUUACUAAUGUGGAGACUAGGGCAUUGUUAGGUGACUUGCACAUAGUCACACAGGAAGGCCACAACAAAGCUUGCAAUAGAAUCCAUAUCUCGUUUAAUAAGGUUAUCUGUUGGGAUAGCAGACAGAACUAAACCAAAAUAAUCCAGCAGAAUCCUUCCCACCACAAGUGGCAUGGAAGUACUCAAAGUUUUAAGUAUGCUGCAAUGGGGGUUGGGAAAAGCAUUUGCCUCCCUCAAAGAUUACUAUGUGUGUCGUCCACUUCAUUGGCUGUGCAGUGACACUGCUUGUUUUGAGUGAUGCAGAAGCUGAUUUCCUGCCCUAGCCUCCUCUGCUUUUAGGACCAUGACUAUAACGUCUUUAUGAGCACUAUGUGGCCUGUGUUAUGCAUGCUGCAGUAGUCGCAUGAGCUAAGAGCCUUGACUCAUGUCAGAAGAUCCAAUAUAAAGUUUAACCUUCAGAAGUCUCUCCUCCCGCUAAGGAUAUGGAAUGUUUUCAAAUGCACAUGUGAGUCAAACCUAUUCUCUACUCUGACUAUUCCAUAGUGGGCAUAGCAACAGAAGGCAAUAUAGAAGACACUAAAACAACCUCUGCAGCAAAUCCUUACCACCCUACAAAAUAUUUAAUGUGAAAAAUGUUUAUUAGUUAUUAUAAAAUAAAUCAACCAACUUUUCUUUGGGGCAAAAAGGUACUACUAGUAAAGAAACAAAAACAACAGCAAAAAGAAUUAAUUAAAAACUGCGGUAGAUGGUUUGCUUACCCCUGCUAUAUGUGCAGUAUAAACUUGUGCAUUUGUUCUGUGCCCACAGACAGGUUUCUCCUCCAAUUUUCUGGAGUGGAGUCAGGGUUGUGGUAAAGUACCAAUUGAAAAUGAGGUUGUAAAUAUCCCUUAAUGAUACACAGAAAAGAAUUUAAAUUACCAGAAGGAGACACUAGAGACGUUAAAAAGUGCUGUAAAAUUAGCCCUAAAUCAGGGAAUCUCCCUGAUAUAGCAUCUAUGUCCCAGGUGGAAAGCCCAUUUUCCAUACAUUUGAAGUCUCUCCUUGGUGUGGGGGUGGGGGUGUGUGUGUGUGCGCGCAUACAGGAUAGUCAUGGGUGCAUUAAAGAGGUGUGUUUCCAUGAAAACUUAGAUUUAUAUGAUUGGGGCUAAAUUACGCGUAGGAUAAGAAGUUAACACCCUAACCUGGAGGAUGAGUAGGGAAAGCAGUAACUUUUCUGAUGAUCUCAGAUAACAGGGAAGUGUGACACUUCAAAAUGUCUUGUCCUCACACUGGGAACACAGGACAGGACAAAAUCUAUCUAGGGGACUGGGGGACAGCAGUACUGAAACUACCUUGGCAGGUUGAAAUUUGUGUUGCAAGGGAGGGGAGAGCCUUCAUGCACAUUAAUGAUUUGGAGAGAGGUGACUUCUUACAUUUUUAGUUUGUACCUCUGUCCAUCUCCACCCCCACCUUAUACACACAUUCGGAAUGGGACAAGGGGACAGGGACUUGGGCGAGACUGACUCAGAGAAGGUGAUGUAGAUAGGGGUGGGACUUUCAGAUCAAUAGCCCCCUCUCCUCCCCUUUUCCACUGGCUGGAGUUAAUGCUUCUGCUGUUGCUGCUGUGUCAGUGUCAGUGUCUUCCUAGGCUCUGUGCAGUGCAAUUCCAAUUUCCCUAGAGCAGCAGCCUCUUCAGUCUACUGGACUCCAGCAGCCAGUUCAGGACUUUAUUUCCUUUUCGACAAGUGGCUGAUCCCUAGUGUUUCACGGGAUAGUGUAUUUGCUCUCACCACAGUAUCACUCUGAUAAAAAUUGGUGGUGACUUCACAGCUGCUGUUUUACUGCUUCAUAACCAAGGCACUUACAUUUUCUUACUGCACCGGUGAAAUGAAACUGAAGCCAUCCUGGGCUGCUGCGUUCCAAGUGUUAACUAGCUGGUGCCUGGGACUUGGAAAUCAAGAGGAGAAGCUGGUGUUACCUUCUGGCCCUAAAACAAUCAAUCUCAUCACUGGAUAUAAUCACAAUACUGAGCAUGCAGUGCCUUUCUGCAAGGCUCGCAAAGUGCUUUAAAAACAUUAAUUCUUCUCACAAUCCUGUAAAGUAGCUUCAUAUUAUCAUACCCAUAUUAUAUAGAGAUAGUAAAAAAAGAGGCUCAGCUAGGCUGUGACUUACCCAAGGUCACAUAGCAAGUCUGUAAUAGUGCUGGAAAUAGAAAAUAGAUCUGCUUUCUCCUGACUAUUGUUUGAGAACUACGAUGAAGGGCUCUUCCAAGACACUGCUCAUAUGGACAUGUGUAAUUACUGGGUCAUCCAAAUCAUGAUAGUGUAAGUUUACUCUGCAGAGACAUCAUGAACAGCUCAAUCUUAACUCCAACCUGCAGAUCUGCCUGUAUUGUGGAGUAGGCUAGCAGAAUUUGAGAGAGUGACCUCUUCUGGCAGUCAGCAGAGGAAUGAUAAGGUUCUCUUGACUGAAUGCUAAUCGUUCCCCAAGUGGCUGGACAGUUAACAGUUUGUAUAUCCCUGAAACAACAAUAGCAAUUUAAUACACUUCAUUGUGUAUUGGUAUUUUCCUAUACUUAGUGUUAAGUUUCUGAGACCUGUGACUGUUGGGUUCAAAUAAAGGAGAUGGCUCUAAACCUUGGGGGAGAGACGACCUAUCCUGUCAAUAAAAUGGGAAGGCUCUCAUUGACUUCAAUGAGAUUUGGAUUAGGUCGAUAAGCCAUAAUUAACUUGGUCUCUGCAAAUCAUUUUAUUCCACCUGUAUUCAAACACUGGGAAUAUGUGGAUGCUGAGGAGAAUAAUUGUUGAAUUAAAAUACAAGUUGCAUCACAGUGGAACAGAUUUCCUUUUAAAGUAUGCUUCAUUUGGAUUUGAAUAAUAAUUAAAAAGACACAGAAACAAAGAGAUUAUGUACUGAAACAAAUCAACAGUGUUCUUCCUAUUCACAAGGUACAUCCUGACUCCAGCUCUUUCAUCUCCCAGCUUUCAUCUCAGCUGCUUUCUUAGGUACCAGUGUGAAGCAUGGACUCUGUGUGUAGAAGAAGGUGGUACCUUCAGUUGGGCUGUAUAUUGAUAGUGAAUUUGAUUUAUGCCAAUCCAGAAUAUCAGAAAGAACCUCCUGGAAGCCUAGGUGAGAUUGACCAUCACUGCUGGGAGAUCUCCUCUCAUAGGCUGGUGGAAAUGAAGAAACUCAAGGUAGCAGAUGCUAUCAUUGCUCUCUGGGAUUUCAUGAUGUUCCUAAAAGAAUCACCAAAGGCCAAGCAUAAUGAACUUUUCAAUGACUUAGCCCAGAAUUUCUGGGAUAUGUAUGUAGACUGUGUGCUUUCAAGGUCCCAUGGAAUGGGCAGAAGACAAUUACUAUCUCCCAACUAUUUUUCCACAUACCCAUAGAGAACUUCACAAGGGUCAGACUUCUCAAAACAUCAGUUUUAGGCCAAAAUGGGAGAAAAAUGAAGAUACCUCAGCAAGAUGACAUCGAACUGAAGGAAAAGAGCCUGCUUGUCAAAAGCACAGCCUGUACUGUAGCUGCUUAUGAGCAAUGUUCCUUUGAUGGGUUUUGAGAUUUUGUUUUAUGCUGGACGAGCACAUGAUAAUUGAUAAAUACUUCAGAUGUGUGUUACCAACAUGUUCCCCUUUCUUUAAAUGUACCAAGGUUGCCUUUCCCCACCACUGCACAUGUGAAUGCUUUAUGUAUUUUGAGUCAAUAUCUGUGUUCUCUCAGGUAAACCUAUCUGUUUAAACUAGUAUUAUAUUUUUGUAGACAUUCAUCUUUCAAAUAAUUCUUUUUUAAAAUGUUAACUGCAAUGGAAACCCAAUAUAUUUUUAUACAUUAAACAACAGAGUUCAAUGGCAACAAGCAAAUUUUAUACAGUAUCUUGCAUAUGAAAUGGAUUUCAGUUUUAAGAUCUACAAAAAAGUACCAAUAUCAACCCAAAGGGAGAGAUUAUGCUUGAUGUAGUGUCUUACGCAGCCUCUAAGUUUGUAUUUGAUCACUGCUUAG
Long non-coding RNA from Gopherus evgoodei (Goodes thornscrub tortoise), 5792 nucleotides. RefSeq lists it as uncharacterized. The record is from RefSeq and is a predicted model, not a curated record. The transcript is spliced from 5 exons. Lineage: Eukaryota; Metazoa; Chordata; Testudines; Testudinidae.